Long non-coding RNA from Perca flavescens (yellow perch), 486 nucleotides. RefSeq lists it as uncharacterized. The record is from RefSeq and is a predicted model, not a curated record. Lineage: Eukaryota; Metazoa; Chordata; Actinopteri; Perciformes; Percidae. The transcript is spliced from 3 exons.
UCAGUGGCUGUUCUCUCAUUGCUGACAGGUGCUCAGACGCUGAUUGAAAUAAAUAAAAUAAAGUCUGCGAGGCUGGGGAACAUGUCGCAGUUCCCUCGACUGAUGCGGCCAUGCCAUAGGUCAAGUUUGUGUGAAGGCGUCCACUCUGUCUGCAAGGAGCAAAAUCAGAGUUUAUAUGAGGAGUGGUGUGUGUCUUCUCUCUGCUCUGACUGCAGGCUGGGACUGGUGCGCGAGGCUACUGAGGGACUGACCGCCUCCUACUCGCGCCCCACCGGUUGAGAACCACUGCUCUAGACUACUCAAACUACUGUACAAAAAGCCCAGCAGUGCUGCAUGUCAGGGUGCGACUAGACACUGAAAACAGCAGCAGAAUGCAAACUGAAACAACAACAGAAACAACAACAUGCUGCAUGGCUCACGUUGAACUUGCCCCAGAGGUCCCCGACGGGUGGAUGACUUCAGCUGCAAAGUCACAUUGACUCAGUG